UCCAGAAGCCUCGGCCGCCGAGGUGGGUCAGCAGAGUUUCCCACCCAAGCUUCUGGGUGUGAGUUUGGACAUCAAGGAUGAGUGGACCCUCCCAAGACCGGUGGAGAGCUUGGGGCAAGGACAUCACCUGCCAUAAACAAUGGGCACUGAGUUCACCAGUUGAGAUAAUGAAACCAAAACUGGAUAAUGCUGUUAGAAAAAAGAAUAAACAAGAAAAACUUUUCAAGUUGGAAAUAAAACAACUGGAAAACAAAGCCAAGAAUCUGGAGCGCCAGGUUUGCUUUGGAGUCCUGCAGCGGCGGUAUCCGUGCUGGCGGGAAGCGCUGGUCUCGCAGCGGGCUCCUCCCUGCGCCUGUGCCAGCUGCUCCUCGGUGAUCACUUGGUCAUUUACUGUCCUCAUCCCCCUCCCCAAGAUUACCGGCUUAUUAUUAGAAAUAUUUCUUGCAUAUACUAUAAAAAAACCUCAUGAAAUUAACGCUUAUGUGUGAUAAUAGAAAAGUGCCGGUUGGUUCCUUGAACAUAGCCGAUGCUCAGUGAAUGUUCACGGGAUGUGGGCUUGGUUUCUGAGUCACGUUGGAAGAGCGCAGACUCUGGACGCCCGUGGUGCGCGCUGGGGAGCAGCACAGCGCUGGGCACUGCGCAGCCUCAUCUGAGAGUCACGUAGAGGCGGGGGGACACGUUCCUGCACCAUUUUCUCUUACUUUGAAACUCGCCUAAGAAAGUGUUAGGCUGUAGUUUUAGGGGAAAAGGAUAUUUGCUUCAAGUAAGUUAUAACCUUGUCAUUCAGUGAGGAGCUUAUUUAAUAAGAUCUCAUUUCUGGAAAUGGAGGUAGGCAUUUAGAUGAAAUUUUAGGGAGAAAAUUUGCUUUUUCUAUGAUUUGCUUUAGAUUUUA
Molecule: long non-coding RNA, 892 nt
Filed under: Chinchilla lanigera (long-tailed chinchilla)
Lineage: Eukaryota; Metazoa; Chordata; Mammalia; Rodentia; Chinchillidae
Description: lncRNA (ENSCLAG00000028327.1)
Source: RNAcentral